CGGAAUGCUUUACACAUGCAAGUCGAACGGCAGCACGGGGGCAACCCUGGUGGCGAGUGGCGAACGGGUGAGUAAUGUAUCGGAACGUACCCAGUCGUGGGGGAUAACUAUCCGAAAGGAUAGCUAAUACCGCAUACGUCCUGAGGGAGAAAGCGGGGGAUCGCAAGACCUCGUGCGAUUGGAGCGGCCGAUAUCGGAUUAGCUAGUUGGUGAGGUAAAGGCUCACCAAGGCGACGAUCCGUAGCGGGUCUGAGAGGACGACCCGCCACACUGGAACUGAGACACGGUCCAGACUCCUACGGGAGGCAGCAGUGGGGAAUUUUGGACAAUGGGGGAAACCCUGAUCCAGCCAUUCCGCGUGAGUGAAGAAGGCCUUCGGGUUGUAAAGCUCUUUCAGCAGGAACGAAACGGCCGACUUUAAUAAAGUCGGCUAA
RNAcentral lists this ribosomal RNA (434 nucleotides) under uncultured bacterium. Its description in RNAcentral is "bacterial SSU rRNA". It matches the Rfam family "Bacterial small subunit ribosomal RNA", at positions 40 to 470 of the family's 1533-position model. The record is from RNAcentral.